Molecule: non-coding RNA, 577 nt
Filed under: uncultured Nocardiopsis sp.
Lineage: Bacteria; Bacillati; Actinomycetota; Actinomycetes; Streptosporangiales; Nocardiopsidaceae
Source: RNAcentral
CCAAUCGAGUGGUGAGCUGGUGCAGGAAGUCCUUCCUGCGGUCGGUGAUGCGGGCGUGCACCCGCGCCACUUUCUUGCGGGCCUUGGCCCGGUUCGCACUGCCCCUGGCCUUGCGGGACAGGGAGCGUUGCGCCUUGGCCAGGCGGGUCCGAUCCCGCUGUUCGUGCCGGGGGUUGGCGAUCUUCUCCCCGGUGGACAACGUCACCAGGGACGUGAUCCCCGCAUCGACCCCGACCACGUCUUCUGACGCCGGGGCGGCUGUGAUGGUGUCCUGGCACAGCAGUGACGCGAACCAGCGUCCCGCGAGAUGGUCACCGUGGACGGCACCGCACCCUCCGGCAGGGGGCGCGACCACACGAUGUCCAACGGCUGGUCCAUCUUGGCCAGGGUGAGUUUCCCGUUCCGGUAGCGGAACGCGCUCGGGGUGUACUCCGCCGAGGCCCGCGACUUCUUUUUCGACUUGAACCUGGGGUAUCCGGCGCGCCCCGCGAAGAAGUUCGAGAAUGCCCCUUGCAGAUGCCGCAGGGUCUGUUGGAGUGGGACGCUGGAGACCUCGGUGAGAAACCCCAGUUCGUUG